GGCGAACGGGUGAGUAAUACGUGAGUAACCUGCCUUUGACUCUGGGAUAAGCCUGGGAAACUGGGUCUAAUACCGGAUAUGACAAGGAACCGCAUGGUUUUUUGUGGAAAGGGUUUGUACUGGUUUUAGAUGGGCUCACGGCCUAUCAGCUUGUUGGUGGGGUAAUGGCUCACCAAGGCGACGACGGGUAGCCGGCCUGAGAGGGUGACCGGCCACACUGGGACUGAGACACGGCCCAGACUCCUACGGGAGGCAGCAGUGGGGAAUAUUGCACAAUGGGCGCAAGCCUGAUGCAGCGACGCCGCGUGAGGGAUGACGGCCUUCGGGUUGUAAACCUCUUUCAGCAGGGAAGAAGCGAAAGUGACGGUACCUGCAGAAGAAGCGCCGGCUAACUACGUGCCAGCAGCCGCGGUAAUACGUAGGGCGCGAGCGUUGUCCGGAAUUAUUGGGCGUAAAGAGCUUGUAGGCGGUUUGUUGCGUCUGCUGUGAAAGACCGGGGCUUAACCCCGGUAUUGCAGUGGGUACGGGCAGACUAGAGUGCAGUAGGGGAGACUGGAAUUCCUGGUGUAGCGGUGAAAUGCGCAGAUAUCAGGAGGAACACCGAUGGCGAAGGCAGGUCUCUGGGCUGUAACUGACGCUGAGAAGCGAAAGCAUGG
RNAcentral lists this ribosomal RNA (656 nucleotides) under Rothia amarae. RNAcentral describes it as "bacterial SSU rRNA". It matches the Rfam family "Bacterial small subunit ribosomal RNA", at positions 97 to 764 of the family's 1533-position model. The record is from RNAcentral. Lineage: Bacteria; Bacillati; Actinomycetota; Actinomycetes; Micrococcales; Micrococcaceae.